RNAcentral lists this long non-coding RNA (274 nucleotides) under Gallus gallus (chicken). The record is from RNAcentral. Lineage: Eukaryota; Metazoa; Chordata; Aves; Galliformes; Phasianidae.
CUUGAGACUCUGCUUCAGUUUAGGGAUGAGAAGUAUGCAAGCCUGAAGCUGCUGCAGAAAGAAGACUUUGAUAAUGUGUGCACAGUCACUACUGCACACAAGAUGCUGGUCUUACAAGAAUUUAACCGAGGUCACAAACAGCAAUUCCUGGCAAAGUUAAUUUGCAACAGAUAAUAGCAAUGGCAUUUCAGUCAUUUCAACUCUCCCCAGCCUAAAGUUUCCAAAACAAAAUAAGGAAGGAGCACCUACGAUCAUAUAUUCAACUGUCUUAUUA